Long non-coding RNA from Ornithorhynchus anatinus (platypus), 643 nucleotides. RefSeq lists it as uncharacterized. The transcript is spliced from 3 exons. The record is from RefSeq and is a predicted model, not a curated record. NCBI's taxonomy places the organism in Eukaryota, Metazoa, Chordata, Mammalia, Monotremata, Ornithorhynchidae.
CUCCGACGCGUGGAGCCGAGAGAAGGGCGGUCUGUCCCCGCCGGGACAUAAAACACAGCUGGUAGACUCGUCCCCUACCCACACGGAACUCGCUCUACCAUCAGUCGAUCGAUCGGUGCUACGUACUGGGCGCUUACGGGGCGCGGAGCGCUCCCCUCAGUGCCGGGGAGAGUCCGCUCGCCGGAACGGAGCCGGCGGCCACGUUCCCCGCCCACCGGGAGCCCGCGGCGGGUCGGAGGGAGGGCCCGGCCCGGCCCCGGGGCCCCGGGACCGCGUCCGUCUGUCGGUCCGUCGUAUUUAUCGGACGCUUACUGGGCGCGGGGCACCGUACUGAGAGCUCGGGCGAGGACAGUGUGACAAUUCCAAGUCCACGCCGAGCUUACGGUCCGGAUGGGGAGACGGACGUCCGUAGAGAUAAGGCGGGGGAACCGAGGCCCAGAGAAGCGGAGCGGCCGGCCCGAGGUGACGCGGCGUGACCUCCCGGACCCCCCCCGGACCUCCGGACGCCCGGGCCCCGUCGGCCGGACGGCGCCGCCGGACCGCCCAGCCUAUGGGAUGCACCCCAAAGCCUGCCACGGCCUGCAGAGGAAAGACCGGCCCCUCGCCCCGAGGACGCCCGCGGGCCCGCCGGGCCAGGGCCAGC